AGCUAAAUAGUUUAAAAUUUAAAAACAUUAAUUUUGUAAAUUAAAAUUAUAUUAAAAUU
RNAcentral lists this transfer RNA (59 nucleotides) under Apis mellifera (honey bee). Its description in RNAcentral is "tRNA-Thr". The record is from RNAcentral. Lineage: Eukaryota; Metazoa; Arthropoda; Insecta; Hymenoptera; Apidae. RNAcentral also lists the same sequence under 2 other names.